CCUACGGGUGGCAGCAGUGGGGAAUAUUGCGCAAUGGGCGAAAGCCUGACGCAGCGACGCCGCGGGAGGGAUGAAGGUCUUCGGAUCGUAAACCUCUGUCAGCAGGGAAGAACGGUCACUGGGCUAAGCAGCAGUGAAUUGACGGUACCUGCAAAGGAAGCACCGGCUAACUCCGUGCCAGCAGCCGCGGUAAUACGGAGGGUGCGAGCGUUAAUCGGAAUUACUGGGCGUAAAGCGCUCGUAGGCGGUAUGUCAAGUCAAGGGUGAAAUCCCCGCGCGCAACGUGGGAACUGCCUUUGAAACUGGCAACCUGGUGUGUGUGAUAGUAUAGUUGAAUUCCCGGUGU
Molecule: ribosomal RNA, 346 nt
Filed under: uncultured bacterium
Lineage: Bacteria
Description: partial 16S ribosomal RNA
Rfam family: Bacterial small subunit ribosomal RNA
Source: RNAcentral